RNAcentral lists this ribosomal RNA (467 nucleotides) under uncultured bacterium. Its description in RNAcentral is "partial 16S ribosomal RNA". It matches the Rfam family "Bacterial small subunit ribosomal RNA", at positions 28 to 507 of the family's 1533-position model. The record is from RNAcentral.
GACGAACGCUGGCGGCGUGCUUAACACAUGCCAGUCGAACGGAAAGGCCUCUUUCGGGGGGUACUCGAGUGGCGAACGGGUGAGUAACACGUGAGUAACCUGCCCUUGACUUUGGGAUAACUUCAGGAAACUGGGGCUAAUACCGGAUAGGAGCUCCUGCUGCAUGGUGGGGGUUGGAAAGUUUCGGCGGUUGGGGAUGGACUCGCGGCUUAUCAGCUUGUUGGUGGGGUAGUGGCUUACCAAGGCUUUGACGGGUAGCCGGCCUGAGAGGGUGACCGGCCACAUUGGGACUGAGAUACGGCCCAGACUCCUACGGGAGGCAGCAGUGGGGAAUAUUGCACAAUGGGUGGAAGCCUGAUGCAGCAACGCCGUGUGCGGGAUGACGGGCUUCGGGUUGUAAACCGCUUUCGCUCAUGACGAAGCUUUGUGUGACGGUAGUGGGUAAAGAAGCACCGGCUAACUACGUG